This 497-nucleotide ribosomal RNA is filed under the name uncultured bacterium. RNAcentral's name for it is "partial 16S ribosomal RNA". It matches the Rfam family "Bacterial small subunit ribosomal RNA", at positions 28 to 507 of the family's 1533-position model. The record is from RNAcentral.
GAUGAACGCUGGCGGCGUGCCUAAUACAUGCAAGUCGAGCGAACAGACGAGGAUCUUGCUCCUCUGACGUUAGCGGCGGACGGGUGAGUAACACGUGGAUAACCUACCUAUAAGACUGGGAUAACUUCGGGAAACCGGAGCUAAUACCGGAUAAUAUAUUGAACCGCAUGGUUCAAUAGUGAAAGACGGUUUUGCUGUCACUUAUAGAUGGAUCCGCGCCGCAUUAGCUAGUUGGUAGGGUAACGGCUUACCAAGGCGACGAUGCGUAGCCGACCUGAGAGGGUGAUCGGCCACACUGGAACUGAGACACGGUCCAGACUCCUACGGGAGGCAGCAGUAGGGAAUCUUCCGCAAUGGGCGAAAGCCUGACGGAGCAACGCCGCGUGAGUGAUGAAGGUCUUCGGAUCGUAAAACUCUGUUAUUAGGGAAGAACAAAUGUGUAAGUAACUAUGCACGUCUUGACGGUACCUAAUCAGAAAGCCACGGCUAACUACGUG